UGACUUGCAUCAGGUUAAGGGCCUCU
This 26-nucleotide non-coding RNA is filed under the name Rattus norvegicus (Norway rat). Lineage: Eukaryota; Metazoa; Chordata; Mammalia; Rodentia; Muridae. The record is from RNAcentral.